GUCUUGAUAAAUUUGGGCCCUCUACUUUAUCACUUUGCAGACUCAUACUCACCUGAUGAUGAGAUGUCCAUUGAACUCAGUUUGGAAGAUGUGAAGAAAGUUGCUUUCCACUAUGGAUUUGAAUUGGAGAUGGAGAAAAUCAUUGAGACGACUUACACUGCAAAUCCUCGAUCAAUGAUGCAAGUAAGCU
This is a long non-coding RNA of Phoenix dactylifera (date palm), 190 nucleotides long. RefSeq lists it as uncharacterized. Lineage: Eukaryota; Viridiplantae; Streptophyta; Magnoliopsida; Arecales; Arecaceae. The record is from RefSeq and is a predicted model, not a curated record.